RNAcentral lists this ribosomal RNA (497 nucleotides) under uncultured bacterium. RNAcentral describes it as "partial 16S ribosomal RNA". It matches the Rfam family "Bacterial small subunit ribosomal RNA", at positions 28 to 507 of the family's 1533-position model. The record is from RNAcentral.
GAUGAACGCUGGCGGCGUGCCUAAUACAUGCAAGUCGAGCGAACAGAUGAGGAGCUUGCUCCUUUGACGUUAGCGGCGGACGGGUGAGUAACACGUGGGUAACCUACCUAUAAGACUGGGAUAACUUCGGGAAACCGGAGCUAAUACCGGAUAAUAUUUCGAACCGCAUGGUUCGAUAGUGAAAGAUGGCUUUGCUAUCACUUAUAGAUGGACCUGCGCCGUAUUAGCUAGUUGGUAAGGUAACGGCUUACCAAGGCAACGAUACGUAGCCGACCUGAGAGGGUGAUCGGCCACAAUGGAACUGAGACAAGGUCCAGACUCCUACGGGAGGCAGCAGUAGGGAAUCUUCCGCAAUGGGCGAAAGCCUGACGGAGCAACGCCGCGUGAGUGAUGAAGGUCUUCGGAUCGUAAAACUCUGUUAUUAGGGAAGAACAAACGUGUAAGUAACUGUGCACGUCUUGACGGUACCUAAUCAGAAAGCCACGGCUAACUACGUG